This is a long non-coding RNA of Oenanthe melanoleuca, 428 nucleotides long. RefSeq lists it as uncharacterized. The record is from RefSeq and is a predicted model, not a curated record. The transcript is spliced from 3 exons. NCBI's taxonomy places the organism in Eukaryota, Metazoa, Chordata, Aves, Passeriformes, Muscicapidae.
UUUUAAAAAUAGUUGCCCAAAGAGUUGUUUAGAUCACUGAAGCUGAAUCUUGAAACCUCUGAAGCUCCAGGAGAGGGCAAGAACAGGAAUGUUGUACCAGAAAGGCACAGUUUUGAUCAGGACAAGAGGAUGGCUGGUGUGGCACUGGGACAGAGGUCACAGGUUUCACCCUUGUGCCAUCACUUCCCUCCUGGACCAAGGAAUGACAGCAGCACUGAUCCACGUGGCACUCACCAAGUGGCUCUGAACCCAGGCAAUAAAGGAUCCCUUCCAAACACAGACAGGCAGAGGCCAGAUUCAAGAGUCAAGAACCAGAAAACACACCAAAAGAAACCAAGCAGGUAUCUCUGAGCUUUUGGGAAACUACCUGGCUGGACUGGAUCUGAGAAGUGACCUGACAACACAGAUGGACCUACCCUGUCACCCAC